GACGAACCGUGCGAACGUUAUUCGGAAUCAUUGGGCUUAAAGGGCGCGUAGACGGAUGACCGCGUCGAGUGCUGAAAUCCCCCGGCUCAACCGGGGAACGGGCACCGAAACGGGUUGUCUCGAGUGGAGGAGGGGGACCUGGAACGUCCGGUGGAGCGGUGAAAUGCGUUGAUAUCGGACGGAACACCGAUGGCGAAAGCGAGGUCCUGGACUCCCACUGACGUUGAGGCGCGAAAGCCAGGGGA
RNAcentral lists this ribosomal RNA (245 nucleotides) under uncultured bacterium. RNAcentral describes it as "partial 16S ribosomal RNA". It matches the Rfam family "Bacterial small subunit ribosomal RNA", at positions 524 to 767 of the family's 1533-position model. The record is from RNAcentral.